GAGGGUAUAGCUCAAGUGGUAGAGGGCAUGCUUAGAAUGCACAAGAUCCUGGGUUCAAUCCCCAGUACCUCCU
Molecule: transfer RNA, 73 nt
Filed under: Camelus bactrianus (Bactrian camel)
Lineage: Eukaryota; Metazoa; Chordata; Mammalia; Artiodactyla; Camelidae
Also listed under: 2 other names
Rfam family: tRNA
About the family: Transfer RNA (tRNA) molecules are approximately 80 nucleotides in length. Their secondary structure includes four short double-helical elements and three loops (D, anti-codon, and T loops).
Source: Rfam by way of RNAcentral